UAAGGAAUAUUGGACAAUGGAGGCAACUCUGAUCCAGCCAUGCCGCGUGGAGGAAUAAGGCCCUAUGGGUUGUAAACUUCUUUUAGACGGGACAAAACCCCUUUACGUGUAAAGGGUUGAUGGUACUGUCAGAAUAAGCAUCGGCUAACUUCGUGCCAGCAGCCGCGGUAAUACGAAGGAUGCAAGCGUUAUCCGGAAUUAUUGGGUUUAAAGGGUGCGUAGGCGGACUAAUAAGUCAGUGGUGAAAGCCUGCAGCUUAACUGCAGAAUUGCCAUUGAUACUGUUAGCCUUGAGUACAGGUGAGGUAGGCGGAAUGUGUCAUGUAGCGGUGAAAUGCUUAGAUAUGACAAAGAACACCGAUUGCGAAGGCAGCUUGCUAAGCUGUAACUGACGCUGAGGCACGAAAGCGUGGGGAGCAAACA
RNAcentral lists this ribosomal RNA (422 nucleotides) under uncultured bacterium. RNAcentral describes it as "bacterial SSU rRNA". It matches the Rfam family "Bacterial small subunit ribosomal RNA", at positions 355 to 774 of the family's 1533-position model. The record is from RNAcentral.